GUGGGCUGAUGAUGUUCUUAGUA
This 23-nucleotide non-coding RNA is filed under the name Arabidopsis thaliana (thale cress). Lineage: Eukaryota; Viridiplantae; Streptophyta; Magnoliopsida; Brassicales; Brassicaceae. The record is from RNAcentral.